AGUCGAGGGGUAUUUAUCUUCGGAUAGAGAGACCGGCGCACGGGUGCGUAACGCGUAUGCAAUCUGCCUUUUACAGAGGGAUAGCCCAGAGAAAUUUGGAUUAAUACCUCAUAGUAUUAUGAAAUGGCAUCAUUUUAUAAUUAAAGUCACAACGGUAAAAGAUGAGCAUGCGUCCCAUUAGCUAGUUGGUAAGGUAACGGCUUACCAAGGCUACGAUGGGUAGGGGUCCUGAGAGGGAGAUCCCCCACACUGGUACUGAGACACGGACCAGACUCCUACGGGAGGCAGCAGUGAGGAAUAUUGGACAAUGGGCGCAAGCCUGAUCCAGCCAUGCCGCGUGCAGGAUGACGGUCCUAUGGAUUGUAAACUGCUUUUAUACGAGAAGAAACACUCCAACGUGUUGGAGCUUGACGGUAUCGUAAGAAUAAGGAUCGGCUAACUCCGUGCCAGCAGCCGCGGUAAUACGGAGGAUCCAAGCGUUAUCCGGAAUCAUUGGGUUUAAAGGGUCCGUAGGCGGUUUAGUAAGUCAGUGGUGAAAGCCCAUCGCUCAACGGUGGAACGGCCAUUGAUACUGCUGAACUUGAAUUAUUAGGAAGUAACUAGAAUAUGUAGUGUAGCGGUGAAAUGCUUAGAGAUUACAUGGAAUACCAAUUGCGAAGGCAGGUUACUACUAAUGGAUUGACGCUGAUGGACGAAAGCGUGGGUAGCGAACAGGAUUAGAUACCCUGGUAGUCCACGCCGUANACGAUGGAUACUAGCUGUUGGGAGCAAUCUCAGUGGCUAAGCGAAAGUGAUAAGUAUCCCACCUGGGGAGUACGUUU
RNAcentral lists this ribosomal RNA (821 nucleotides) under uncultured Bacteroidota bacterium. RNAcentral's name for it is "bacterial SSU rRNA". It matches the Rfam family "Bacterial small subunit ribosomal RNA", at positions 60 to 887 of the family's 1533-position model. Lineage: Bacteria; Pseudomonadati; Bacteroidota. The record is from RNAcentral.